CCUGAUUGGAAACUGAAGAACAGAUUAAAACAACAGAACAGAUUAGAACACUUCGAAGACGAAGUUCCGAGCGGAGUUGCUGUCGUCAUCAGUUAGUAGCCUGUAUGCGAUGAAUCUAGAAAUUCGUAUAACGUAUACGAUUGCAGAUCAAUUUUCUUGCAACGUCGAGACAUUUUCAAUCCAUCGGGUAGUUUAGACAAAAAGUAACGAUCAUACACGAGCAAGUUUCAACUCGUUUUUUGUUUUAAUGUCGAUUUGAAAGAGCUUAAGGAUUCAGC
Paramuricea clavata is the source of this 278-nucleotide non-coding RNA. Lineage: Eukaryota; Metazoa; Cnidaria; Anthozoa; Malacalcyonacea; Plexauridae. The record is from the annotation of a GenBank genome assembly.